RNAcentral lists this ribosomal RNA (92 nucleotides) under Octodon degus (degu). Lineage: Eukaryota; Metazoa; Chordata; Mammalia; Rodentia; Octodontidae. The record is from RNAcentral.
GUCUACAGCCAUACCACCCUGAAUGCAUACGAUCUCAUCUGAUCUCAGAAACUAAGCAGGGUCGGGCCUGGUUAGUACCUGGAAGGGAGAUU